RNAcentral lists this signal recognition particle RNA (298 nucleotides) under Cebus imitator (Panamanian white-faced capuchin). RNAcentral describes it as "Metazoan signal recognition particle RNA (ENSCCAG00000013446.1)". It matches the Rfam family "Metazoan signal recognition particle RNA". From Rfam's summary of the family: The signal recognition particle (SRP) is a universally conserved ribonucleoprotein. The record is from RNAcentral. Lineage: Eukaryota; Metazoa; Chordata; Mammalia; Primates; Cebidae.
GCGGGCACGGUGGCACGUGUCUAUAGUCCCAGCUACUCGGGAGGCUGAGGUGGGAGGAUCGCUUGAGUACAGGAGUUCUGGGCUGUAGUGUGCUAUGCCAAUCGGGUGUCUGCACUAAGUUCAGCAUCAACGUGGUGACCUCCUGGGAGCGGGAGACCACCAGGUUGCCUAAGGAGGGGUGAAUCGGCCCAGGUGGGAAACGGAGCAGGUCAAAACUCCUGUGCUGAUCAGUAGUGGAAUCGCUCCUGUGAAUAGCCACUGCACUCCAGCCUGGGCAGCAUAAUGAGACCCCAUCUCU